CUUUCAUUUUCCAUGCUGAGCUAGCAGUAAUUGGGUAGAAGAAUCAGAGGGACAUUAGCAGUCCUUGCUACGCCACUGACCAGGAGCCGCCUGAGGUAUGUGCCCUCUGAUUACCAUUAUGAUACGAGAAUGCUUCUUCCCACAUUAUGGCUGCUUACACAUGGGAAUAACUGCCAUACUUUGCCUAAAGUACCAAUAAUUACACUGCAACUACACGUAUGAAAAGAGAAGAAGUCAACAACAGCUGGAAAUGGGAGAAGAUGAGAGAAUAAGCAGAAAUGCACAGUAGAUGAGAAGAGAAGUCAAAUAAAUAGACAAGGAAGGAAAGGGUUAUGCAAGAACCGGGAAAGAGAAGAAAGCAAGAUGUAGAAUGCAAAGGAGAUAUGUGGUGUUUAGAUGUUGCUUAUAAUUAUUAGAAGUGGGAGCACUGGCUGUUGGGAGUCUGAAAGGACAGGAAACAAGAAGGAGGGAGGAGGAGUUGAGAGGCUGGGAGAAAGCUACAGAGGGUGCAG
This is a long non-coding RNA of Chelonia mydas (Green sea turtle), 512 nucleotides long. RefSeq lists it as uncharacterized. The transcript is spliced from 3 exons. NCBI's taxonomy places the organism in Eukaryota, Metazoa, Chordata, Testudines, Cheloniidae. The record is from RefSeq and is a predicted model, not a curated record.